This 206-nucleotide ribosomal RNA is filed under the name uncultured bacterium. RNAcentral describes it as "partial 16S ribosomal RNA". It matches the Rfam family "Bacterial small subunit ribosomal RNA", at positions 568 to 773 of the family's 1533-position model. The record is from RNAcentral.
CGUGCAGGCGGUUCCGUAAGUCGGACGUGAAAGCUCCUGGCUUAACUGGGAGAGGUCGUUCGAUACUGCGGGACUUGAGGUUGGGAGAGGGACGUGGAAUUCCCGGUGUAGUGGUGGAAUGCGUAGAGAUCGGGAGGAACACCAGUGGCGAAGGCGGCGUCCUGGCCCACACCUGACGCUGAGACGCGAAAGCGUGGGUAGCGAAC